Non-coding RNA from Corythoichthys intestinalis (scribbled pipefish), 1454 nucleotides. NCBI's taxonomy places the organism in Eukaryota, Metazoa, Chordata, Actinopteri, Syngnathiformes, Syngnathidae. The record is from the annotation of a RefSeq genome assembly.
AAAAUUACAUGCUUUUUCUCUCAAAUAUAUUGUUAUAAUCAUUUGUUUCAGAUGUACUGUAAUUAUUUUCUGUAUAAAAAUUAAUUUGGUGUUCAAAAAGUAUUUUUUCAAACUUGAGUCUUGAAAAAGAGGGGGUCGUCUUAUAAUCAGGGCCGUCUUAUAUUCGGGCCAAUACGGUAUUCCAAAGAUAAAAUGAUUGUCAAGCUGUGCAUUGGCUAUUGCAAGGCUAGAAAAUAGAAAUGGGUUAUCCAGGGCACAUUAUUUUCUUCUUUUAGAACCUUGUGAGAGUUCCAAUGGUGUUUUCUUUUUGAAAACACUGUGAGUGCUCACAAAACAGGUGUUCCCAAGUUGUAAGACUGCAGUCGUGGACCAACUUCAAAAUAAAAGCCUUUCAUUUCCUGCAUGCUUAGCACACACCAGAGUGGGUAGACGCAUGACUAGGUGCAACCAGACACAAAUUGUUGGUACAUCAGGAUGCAUCAAUCUUUAUAGAUACAGUACAUGAAAUAGUUUAGCCAAAGUCCAAUUGAAUUGAUGGAUAAACAAAAAAACAACAACAAUCUUUUAGAAUAAAUGAUUGCAAACCUGACAAAGCCGGUGAUUUCUUUGGCGAUGUUACCACAAUAUUAAUUGUCACCUUAACUUAUAAAGACUGGCGAAUAGAGGACCCCCGAGAUCAUGGACCGUCUAAGGCCGUAUCAUUGAGCUAUAUCACAGAUGCGCACCCAACGCUCAGAUUUUUCUAUCAUAUCCAUCUUACUGUCAAUGGGGGUGCUCGUACACUUGGAGAAUCACUGCUUCAAACCAACAGAUGGUGCCAAAUAUCGCUAGAAAUGCAGGGAGCAUUCUGGGUAUUCUUCUCUGCCGAUAAAAGCAAUCAACCCACAUUCAUCAGACUGCUCCUGAAUGAAAAGUGGAUCGCUUAGAUUUUCAGCUAAAAUGCUCGCGACAGUACUGGUACUCAUCAUGCUUCCGACAGAAGUGACAGCAUCGGACAACUUAGAUGUUCACCAAACACCGCCGUACAUGAUAAAGAGACUCGGGGAAGACAGCGUCGACGAAAUGAGCUGCUCGCACAGCAUCACGAAUUACGACGUCGUCCUCUGGUACAGACAAAACCGGGUUGGCACGCUGGUGCUCAUGGGCUACCUCAAUCAGAGGAGUCCUUUCCCCGAGGAUGAUUUUAAGGGGAAGGUGGACUUUAGUGGAAAUGCCCAACAACGCUCCGGCCUGAUCAUCAAAAACCUGACCUUAAGUGAUAGUGCUGUGUACUUCUGCGCAGCUAGCACAGUGCUGCAGAUUGGCCCACGAGUCGUCACAAAACAGGCAACCCUUAUCAGCGUUUGAUAUCAAAACCAACACGUGCGCCAUCCGACUCCAAAAUCAUGAACAUUAUUCAGUUCGUGAAAAAAACACAGUUGCCCAAUGAAGUCUGUAAAAUAAAAGUUAAUCAG